RNAcentral lists this unclassified non-coding RNA (517 nucleotides) under Hevea brasiliensis (rubber tree). Lineage: Eukaryota; Viridiplantae; Streptophyta; Magnoliopsida; Malpighiales; Euphorbiaceae. The record is from RNAcentral.
AGAGAGAGAGAGAGAGAGAGAAAGUCAAGUUCUUCCCCAAAUUCAAGGACAUCAUAACUAAACCAAUAGAUUGUCAAAUUCAAAAAAUGGGCUUAACUUGAAGCACAUCUCAGAUGUCAAGAUUAUGCAAGCCUAGUUAGAGAACAUGCAAAUAGUGUGAAAAAGCAAAAAGUAUGCAGCCUGCAUCCGUUUCAUUAAGUUCUAUUGUCUUCCCAGUUCCCACUAUUAAGAGGAAGAAAAAUUAAAAAAGAAAUUUAUGGACAGAUGUUUUUAAAAGAUGGAAGAGUAACUGCAAGAAAGUUUAGAAGGAAGAAGUCUAUAAUAAUAUUAGUCAAAUUCCAGAGGAUAUUCUAUCCAAAUUGUUAAAAGGAAAAAAAGACCAUUAUAUUUCCAAUAGGCCAAUACAUAAAAUUGGGUCCUGGUACUAGGAGUGUGCACAGUUUGGUCUACACUGGUAAUUUGAACCAAAUCAUAAAGUAAUUUUGUUUGGUUUAACCCUCCAAAUGGUUCAAUUUGA